ACGAUACUCCAGCGGGUGUCCAAUCCAAAGUGCAGAGUUCAUGGUUGCAGGAUGCACAGAUAGGUGAAAAUUGACAGUUAAGUUUUUCAGAAGUUCCUAGCUGUUAAUCAUCAGGUCAAUUUUCUCCGCAGGUGGUUUGGAGUUUUUAGUCUCCGUCUCAGUGCAAGGAUGGCCGAAGGGUCUCAGAGAACCGAAGAAUUGCCAGAGGACGUCAUGUCUGAUGAUUGCAUGAGUUCUUACACUCACGUCUACAGUCCAGACCUUUUGAAAGAUCAGGUUGCUUUUAUCACCGGAGGUGGCUCUGGCAUUGGAUUCCGAAUAGCUGAAGUCUUCAUGAGGCAUGGGUGUGAUGUAGUGAUUGCUAGCCGAAAUCUACAACGUCUAACUGAGGCCGCAGAGAAAUUAACUAAAGCAACUGGUCGGAGAUGUCUCCCUUUGGCAAUAGAUGUUAGGCAGCCGGAGACCAUUAACACAGCCAUAGAUCGAACUUUGGAGGAGCUGGGUCGUAUCGACAUACUCAUCAACAAUGCUGCCGGUAACUUCCUAUGUCCUGCCUCCUCUUUGUCAUUCAACGCCUUCAAGACAGUAUUGGAGAUCGACACCAUGGGCACUUUCAAUGCCAGCAAAGUGGUCUAUGAGAAGUGGUUUAAGGAUCAUGGAGGUUCUAUUGUAAACAUUUCUGCCACUCUUGGAUACAAGGGUCAGGCUCUCCAGGUGCAUGCUGGGUCAGCAAAAGCAGCCAAUGAUGCCAUGACCAAGCACCUGGCUGUGGAGUGGGGCCCCAGUGGCGUGCGCGUGAACACUGUGGCACCAGGACCUAUCUCAGGCACCGAGGGCUACCGCAGACUGGGUGGUCCUCAUGCUGAGAAUGCUGGUGCUUUCAGCAGCAUCCCCCUGCAGCGUGCAGGGAACAAGACAGAGAUGGCCCACGCAGUACUCUUCCUCUCCAGCAGGGCGGCGUCCUACAUCACAGGCAGCGUAUUGGUGGCUGAUGGCGGAGCGUGGCUGACGUCGCCCAAUGAUGUACACCGUCUGCUGGGUAUACUCUCCUCUCGCUCUGCUAAACUCUGACAGACGACACUCAGCUACAUGAGGAGAUGGCGGACAUAACUGGAGUGAACAGGAAUGCAUACAACAGUGAUUCUGGUCCUCUGAAAUGAAGAGAGAUAGGAAGUAAUGCCUUCCAUCAUCCUCAGAAGAACAAGAUGAACAACUGUCUCACACACAGCAGCAUUCCAUCAUAUCAACUAGUAAUCAUGCUAAUGUUUGUUGUACCUUGUCUUCCAAAGGUAUAUGCACAUCUAGGGACUGACAAGCUACAAGUUGCCCUUGGACUAUAUGGCGCUUUUUGUUCAUCAUUUGCUAGCUUGUGUGUCUUCUCUUUCACAUAUUCAAAUUUUCAAUGUUUCUUGAAAAAAUGUUUUUUUGUUAAACCAUGAAACACUAAACAAAUCUAAUUUCUUA
Alosa sapidissima (American shad) is the source of this 1464-nucleotide RNA transcript. It is a transcript of the gene named 2,4-dienoyl CoA reductase 2, peroxisomal, with no coding region annotated. The transcript is spliced from 11 exons. Lineage: Eukaryota; Metazoa; Chordata; Actinopteri; Clupeiformes; Clupeidae. The record is from RefSeq and is a predicted model, not a curated record.